GAUAUCAUCGUACACCAGUGCUGACGACAGCUCAUUGAGCUUGCUCUGACGAUGAGACACGAAAGCGUGGUGAGCACACGGGAUUAGAUACCCCGGUAGUCCACGCCGUAAACAAUGUGCACUAGAUCAAGGAAGGUACUGACGCCUCUGUCGGUCGAAGUAAAAACGUUGAGUGCACCGCCUGGGGAGUACGGUCGCAAGGCUAAAACUCAAAGGAAUUGACGGGGGCUCACACAAGCGGUGGAGCAUGUGGCUUAAUUUGAAGCAACGCGAAGAACCUUAUCCCAGGUUUGACAUGUAUGGAUUAGUCGCCAGAAACGGCGAUGACACUCUUGUAGUGGAACAUACACAGGUGCUGCAUGGCUGUCGUCAGCUCGUGCUGUGAAGUGUCGGGUUAAGUCCCUUAACGAGCGAAACCCCUAUUACUAGUUGCUCACGCGUCAUGGCGAGGACUCUAGUGAGACUGCCGGUGUUAAACCGGAGGAAGGUGGGGAUGACGUCAAGUCCUCAUGGCCUUUAUGCCUGGGGCUGCACACGUGCUACAAUGGUGCGAACAGAACGAUGCAAGACCGCAAGGUGGAGCAAAUCGCUUAAAUCGCACCCCAGUUCGGAUUGAGGGCUGCAACCCGCCCUCAUGAAGUCGGAAUCGCUAGUAAUCGCGGAUCAGCUACGCCGCGGUGAAUAUGUUCCUGAGCCUUGUACACACCGCCCGUCAAGUCAUGGAAGCCGCCAGAUGCCUUAAGUCGCCUCAUCCCUGAGGUUAGCACGCCAACACUGCCAUCCG
RNAcentral lists this ribosomal RNA (784 nucleotides) under uncultured bacterium. RNAcentral describes it as "bacterial SSU rRNA". It matches the Rfam family "Bacterial small subunit ribosomal RNA", at positions 693 to 1468 of the family's 1533-position model. The record is from RNAcentral.